RNAcentral lists this ribosomal RNA (440 nucleotides) under uncultured bacterium. RNAcentral describes it as "partial 16S ribosomal RNA". It matches the Rfam family "Bacterial small subunit ribosomal RNA", at positions 338 to 795 of the family's 1533-position model. The record is from RNAcentral.
CCUACGGGUGGCAGCAGUGGGGAAUAUUGGACAAUGGGGGGAACCCUGAUCCAGCGACGCCGCGUGCGUGAAGAAGUAUUUCGGUAUGUAAAGCUCUAUCAGCAGGGAAGAAAAUGACGGUACCUGACUAAGAAGCCCCGGCUAACUACGUGCCAGCAGCCGCGGUAAUACGUGGGGGGCAAGCGUUAUCCGGAUUUACUGGGUGUAAAGGGCGUGCAGACGGGGGGACAAGUCAGAUGUGAAAUUCAAGGGCUCAACCCGUGAACUGCAUUUGAAACUGUUUGCCUUGAGUGUAGGAGAGGUAAGCGGAAUUCCUGGUGUAGCGGUGAAAUGCGUAGAUAUAAGGAAGAACACCAGUGGCGAAGGCGGAUUACUGGACUGUAACUGACGGUGAGGCGCGAAAGCGUGGGGAGCAAACAGGAUUAGAUACCCGGGUAGUC